This 109-nucleotide small nuclear RNA is filed under the name Rhodnius prolixus. The record is from RNAcentral. Lineage: Eukaryota; Metazoa; Arthropoda; Insecta; Hemiptera; Reduviidae.
UUACACUCGCUUGGGUGAUACAUUUACUACAAUUGGAACGGAACAGAGAAGAUAAACAUGUCCUCUGUGCAAGAACGACUCGCAAAAUCGUGACGAGUUCCACAUUUUU